AGAACAUCCUUACGAAACAAUGUCAUAAAACCAGAGUUGAGAAACUAUAUACAAAAAGAAUAAAUACCUUCUAUAACCAACAAUUUUCAGCAAAUCGAGAACAU
Molecule: long non-coding RNA, 104 nt
Organism: Myotis brandtii (Brandt's bat)
Lineage: Eukaryota; Metazoa; Chordata; Mammalia; Chiroptera; Vespertilionidae
Exons: 3
Source: RefSeq, a predicted model, not a curated record